GAUGAACGCUGGCGGCGUGCCUAAUACAUGCAAGUCGAGCGAACAGACGAGGAGCUUGCUCCUCUGACGUUAGCGGCGGACGGGUGAGUAACACGUGGAUAACCUACCUAUAAGACUGGGAUAACUUCGGGAAACCGGAGCUAAUACCGGAUAAUAUAUUGAACCGCAUGGUUCAAUAGUGAAAGACGGUUUUGCUGUCACUUAUAGAUGGAUCCGCGCCGCAUUAGCUAGUUGGUAAGGUAACGGCUUACCAAGGCAACGAUGCGUAGCCGACCUGAGAGGGUGAUCGGCCACACUGGAACUGAGACACGGUCCAGACUCCUACGGGAGGCAGCAGUAGGGAAUCUUCUGCAAUGGGCGAAAGCCUGACGGAGCAACGCCGCGUGAGUGAUGAAGGUCUUCGGAUCGUAAAACGCUGUUAUUAGGGAAGAACAAAUGUGUAAGUAACUAUGCACGUCUUGACGGUACCUAAUCAGAAAGCCACGGCUAACUACGUG
Molecule: ribosomal RNA, 497 nt
Filed under: uncultured bacterium
Lineage: Bacteria
Description: partial 16S ribosomal RNA
Rfam family: Bacterial small subunit ribosomal RNA
Source: RNAcentral